GACGAACGCUGGCGGCGUGCUUAACACAUGCAAGUCGAACGGAAAGGCCCCUUUGGGGGUACUCGAGUGGCGAACGGGUGAGUAACACGUGAGUAACCUGCCCUUGACUUCGGGAUAACUUCAGGAAACUGGGGCUAAUACCGGAUAGGAAUCCUUGCUGCAUGGUGGGGGUUGGAAAGCUUCGGCGGUCUUGGAUGGACUCGCGGCGUAUCAGCUUGUUGGUGGGGUAGUGGCUUACCAAGGCUUUGACGGGUAGCCGGCCUGAGAGGGCGACCGGCCACAGUGGGAAUGAGAAACGGCCCAGACUCCUACGGGGGGCAGCAGGGGGGAAUAUUGCACAAUGGGCGGAAGCCUGAUGCAGCAACGCCGCGUGCGGGAUGACGGCCUUCGGGUUGUAAACCGCUUUCAGCAGGGGCGAAGCUUGUGGUGACGGUACCUGCAGAAGAAGCACCGGCUAACUACGUG
This 465-nucleotide ribosomal RNA is filed under the name uncultured bacterium. RNAcentral describes it as "partial 16S ribosomal RNA". It matches the Rfam family "Bacterial small subunit ribosomal RNA", at positions 28 to 507 of the family's 1533-position model. The record is from RNAcentral.